This 253-nucleotide ribosomal RNA is filed under the name uncultured bacterium. Its description in RNAcentral is "partial 16S ribosomal RNA". It matches the Rfam family "Bacterial small subunit ribosomal RNA", at positions 524 to 776 of the family's 1533-position model. The record is from RNAcentral.
UACGUAGGGGGCAAGCGUUGUCCGGAUUUAUUGGGCGUAAAGAGCGUGUAGGCGGCCAGGUAGGUCUGCUGUGAAAACUCGAGGCUUAACCUCGAGCUGUCGGCGGAAACCAUCUGGCUAGAGUCCGGAAGAGGAGAAUGGAAUUCCCGGUGUAGCGGUGAAAUGCGCAGAUAUCGGGAAGAACACCCGUGGCGAAGGCGACUACCUGGCCUGUUCUUGACGCUGAGGCGCGAAAGCUAGGGGAGCAAACGGG